This is a long non-coding RNA of Oreochromis aureus, 536 nucleotides long. RefSeq lists it as uncharacterized. The transcript has 3 exons. NCBI's taxonomy places the organism in Eukaryota, Metazoa, Chordata, Actinopteri, Cichliformes, Cichlidae. The record is from RefSeq and is a predicted model, not a curated record.
AUUUGUUCUCAGGGUUGUUCAGCGUGGCAGAGUUGGAACAGAAACUUUCUGCAGGUUUAUUAUUGAUCAAACUAAAGUCAUAUUAAGGAGCUACUGGCACGGAGUCAGAGCAGAGCUCAGAAAUCUGAAAUAUAUCAAAGUAUAUUAAAGUUAAAGAGUUUAGAGAACACUGUUUGGUUAGCUGCCUCAAAGGCAGAUGACUCUCAAUAUCACAAGAUCAGGUAAAAUUUCAGAUCAAGGAAAAUCACUGGGAUUAUCUGUGAAGAGGCAGAAAAGCAUAGACGUGGUCUACCUUAUAGCCAUUUUGAAAAGCCUGCAGACACAGAGGACGGUUACGGAGAAGAAGCAGAGGAUUUUCUCAGUUUCUACACAGACCUGGUCCAGACAGCAGAGAGCUGCAGAGUGAAGACGUUCAUGGAAGCUGAGUCAGUGCAACGUCCUCUUUGAAUCCUGGAUCAGGAAGUAAAGCCGGUGAAGGUAGAAAGUGUGUGUGAGCUGAAUUGAGCAGCAUGGAUCAGUGUGAGGACAGAGAGGAG